RNAcentral lists this long non-coding RNA (242 nucleotides) under Elaeis guineensis (African oil palm). RNAcentral describes it as "long non-coding RNA (EGUI_LNC067064)". Lineage: Eukaryota; Viridiplantae; Streptophyta; Magnoliopsida; Arecales; Arecaceae. The record is from RNAcentral.
CUCAUAGAUUCAAUUCUAUCUGGUAGUAAGAUAUACAAUGAUCUCUAUCAAAGUAUCAUUGAAACUCUUUUCAAUGAGUUAGAACAAUUUCACUCUAACUCAUUAAGGAUUGUCGAUCCGGAACAACCCUAGUGAGCUCUCAUAAUCUACCAGUGACAUCUAGCAGUAUGUAAUGGCAACCCAGUAAAAUUGAAAUAAAUCUUUAGGUAUAGUUAAUGUGUGAUUCAGUCCCUCUAUCGUGA